RNAcentral lists this non-coding RNA (29 nucleotides) under Mus musculus (house mouse). Lineage: Eukaryota; Metazoa; Chordata; Mammalia; Rodentia; Muridae. The record is from RNAcentral.
GGCUUAUCCUGGAGUUGCCCAAAGCCUUC